UGGGGGAUAUUGCACAAUGGGGGAAACCCUGAUGCAGCAACGCCGCGUGAAGGAAGAAGGUCUUCGGAUUGUAAACUUCUGUCCUCAGGGAAGAUAAUGACGGUACCUGAGGAGGAAGCUCCGGCUAACUACGUGCCAGCAGCCGCGGUAAUACGUAGGGAGCGAGCGUUGUCCGGAUUUACUGGGUGUAAAGGGUGCGUAGGCGGAUAGGCAAGUCAGUGGUGAAAUCUAUGGGCUUAACCCAUAAACUGCCAUUGAAACUGUUUAUCUUGAGUGGAGUAGAGGCAGGCGGAAUUCCCGGUGUAGCGGUGAAAUGCGUAGAGAUCGGGAGGAACACCAGUGGCGAAGGCGGCCUGCUGGGCUUUAACUGACGCUGAGGCACGAAAGUGUGGGUAGCAAACA
Molecule: ribosomal RNA, 402 nt
Filed under: uncultured bacterium
Lineage: Bacteria
Description: bacterial SSU rRNA
Rfam family: Bacterial small subunit ribosomal RNA
Source: RNAcentral